GGUCCAGUAGGUGUCAGCCAGCCGGGGAUACUCCGUUCUCCGUCUGGGUUAGUAACAGGUUUACCGGCCACAGCAACACCUGCAAACAAAGAGUUGCAGGGCAUUUCAUGGGAGGGACCAGCAGACAUCAGCAGCUUGAUCACUGAGGCAGUGACAGAAGAAGAGCCCCUGUACGCUGUUCCCCAGAAGGAGCACCAACGUAAAUUCACCAUCGAUGACUUCACCCUGCAUAAGAUGCUUGGGAAAGGCAGCUUUGGCAAGGUGUUUUUAGCCGAGCUGAAAAAAAA
Long non-coding RNA from Monopterus albus (swamp eel), 287 nucleotides. RefSeq lists it as uncharacterized. NCBI's taxonomy places the organism in Eukaryota, Metazoa, Chordata, Actinopteri, Synbranchiformes, Synbranchidae. The transcript is spliced from 3 exons. The record is from RefSeq and is a predicted model, not a curated record.